CACGAAGUUAGCCGAUCCUUACUCGCACGGUACAUUCAUUUUUUUAUUCCCGUGCAACAGAGCUUUACGAACCGAAGUCCUUCAUCACUCACGCGGCGUCGCUGCGUCAGGGUUUCCCCCAUUGCGCAAUAUUCCCUA
RNAcentral lists this ribosomal RNA (138 nucleotides) under uncultured bacterium. RNAcentral's name for it is "partial 16S ribosomal RNA". The record is from RNAcentral.